RNAcentral lists this ribosomal RNA (573 nucleotides) under uncultured bacterium. Its description in RNAcentral is "bacterial SSU rRNA". It matches the Rfam family "Bacterial small subunit ribosomal RNA", at positions 332 to 922 of the family's 1533-position model. The record is from RNAcentral.
GCCCUUCCUACGGGAGGCAGCAGUGGGGAAUAUUGCACAAUGGAGGAAACUCUGAUGCAGCAACGCCGCGUGGAGGAUGACGCAUUUCGGUGUGUAAACUCCUUUUAUAAGGGAAGAUAAUGACGGUACCUUAUGAAUAAGCACCGGCUAACUCCGUGCCAGCAGCCGCCGUAAUACGGAGGGUGCAAGCGUUACUCGGAAUCACUGGGCGUAAAGGAUGCGUAGGCUGGAAAUCAAGUCGAGAGUGAAAUCCAACGGCUCAACCGUUGAACUGCUCUCGAAACUGGUUACCUAGAAUAUGGGAGAGGUAGAUGGAAUUGGUGGUGUAGGGGUAAAAUCCGUAGAUAUCACCAGGAAUACCGAUUGCGAAGGCGAUCUACUGGAACAUUAUUGACGCUGAGGCAUGAAAGCGUGGGGAGCAAACAGGAUUAGAUACCCUGGUAGUCCACGCCCUAAACGAUGCACACUAGUUGUUGCGAUGCUAGUCAUUGCAGUAAUGCACAUAACAGAUUAGGUGUGCCGCCUGGGGAGUACGGUCGCAAGAUUAAAACUCAAAGGAAUUGACGGAAGGGC